UACAGAGGGUGCUAGCGUUGUUCGGAUUUACUGGGCGUAAAGGGCGCGUAGGCGGCGCAACAAGUCACUUGUGAAAUCUCCGGGCUUAACCCGGAGCGGUCAAGUGAUACUGUCGUGCUAGAGUGCGGAAGGGGCUACUGGAAUUCUCGGUGUAGCGGUGAAAUGCGUAGAUAUCGAGAGGAACACCUGCGGCGAAGGCGGGUAGCUGGGCCGACACUGACGCUGAUGCGCGAAAGCCAGGGGAGCGAACGGG
Molecule: ribosomal RNA, 253 nt
Filed under: uncultured bacterium
Lineage: Bacteria
Description: partial 16S ribosomal RNA
Rfam family: Bacterial small subunit ribosomal RNA
Source: RNAcentral